GACUUUCCCUCUCGGGAUCCGCGCCCCGACCAAGUUCCAGCCGCACUUCCGGGGUCCGCGGGCGACUGAAACGUCAUUGCGCAUGCGACGGCGGCGGCGACCACCCGGAAGUGGGCGGAGCGUGCUCGCUGGGGUGGUUCCUGCGGAGCUAGGUGGGCUGGGAGAGCCAGGCCUGUGGGAGAGACUGCAAUGGUCCCACCAACAUACCUGUAAGGAUAUUUCUGUGAAAUAAGAUUCAGCCAAUACAUGCAUCAGAGCCCUCAGCUAUGUAUAAGGCAACCAAUAUGUGUUAUAAUGAUGAUUCACUAAAGAUAAUAUUUCAUUCAGUAUUUCUGGUAAGAAGGGAAAAGGAGAGAAGAUGAUAUGAUGGAAGGAUGGAGGGGUGCUGUAAUUUUUUUUCGAACAGGAAUAUGAAUGUUUUCUAAUGGGAGGCAUUUAAAUGCCUUAGUUGAAGAUUGAUUCAAAGAAAAGCUCUCUUUUGGAUUCAUCUCAACAUCUAUCAGGUGGUAUUAUUUUUCCAAUAGUCUUUACACUUUCGAAAGAGCUUAUGUCCAACCUAUAAUUAUUUUCUGCUAAUUAGAGUAAUUCAUGGUUAAUUAUUCAAAAUGAUUCCUCUUCAAAAUCAAAUCCAUUUCUUGUCAUGACAUUAAAAAAAGAUACAAAUAAAAUAUUAUCAGAAUGCAAAUUUCUGUCAGAAGGGAGUACUUUUUAAAAAAUUUUCUUUAAAUAGCAUUAAAAUCUUUUUCUACCAGCAAAGGCUCCAUGAUUGCCUACUUCAAUUAAUGUGAACUAGAGUAGGGCAACUGAACCAUGAAGUGGUGACUGUCAAUGUUUUUGAUAAUUACUAAAGAUUAGUUAUAUUGACCAUAUUGGAGUAAGUAAUUUACCAUAUCCUUAAGGAAGAGUUGCAAAGCAGUAAGACCUAAAUGGGGUAAGGGCAAACAGUGAAUAUGUUAGCUUGCGACCCUGGAUUUCUAAAGAUGUACAUUGCAGAUGUAUGGCUCUUUGUGGAUUCUUGUUUAGCUGGUAUUGUCCUGGUCCUGCUUCCUCAAGAGGCAGCUCCCUUCCCCUAGUAUUUCCUAGGGAAACCUAGGAGCUCUCUUUCUAGUCGAGGAUCAUGCUUUGCCUGGAUUGGGACCAAUACCCCACUCUGAUCUCACUCUACAUUUAGCUUUAUUCCAAUUAUUAUUUUUUUUUAUUCCAAUUAUUGUAUGAAUUUCAACUGUCUUUCCUGAGAGGGUAAGGUUC
Molecule: long non-coding RNA, 1248 nt
Organism: Canis lupus familiaris (dog)
Lineage: Eukaryota; Metazoa; Chordata; Mammalia; Carnivora; Canidae
Exons: 4
Source: RefSeq, a predicted model, not a curated record